GUAAUAGUAAAACCUGAGACCUACCAGUAUGGAGACGCUAGAGCCUCGUUGGCUGCUUUGCAACAACAAUAACUGAUGUGAGUGCUAGUUUCAAACCAUAAAGGCAUAUUGUUGAGUUAAGGCUAUGCUUGUAUGGGGUCAUCUAUGCAUCUCCACACGACGUUUUCUCUCUACAAACACGCUAGAAGCUGUCUCCUCCCUAUACCUUGAAGAAUUCACAAACCUCUGUUCUAAGGGACUUCUAAAAGAAGCUCUUAAGAGCUAUAAAUCUGAGAUAUGGAAAAAUCCACAUCUCUUCUCUUACCUUCUCCAAUCAUGCAUUCCUCAAAAGUCAUUGCUUCUGGGAAAACAACUCCAUUCUUUGGUAAUUACUUCUGGGUAUUUCAGAGACAAAUUUGUGCGAAAUCACCUCCUAAAUAUGUACACCAAGAUUGGACAACUACAAACAGCUCUUUCGUUGUUCGACUCUAUGCCCAAGAAAAAUAUCAUGUCUUGUAACAUUUUGAUUAAUGGGUAUGUAAAGAGUGGAGAUUUGGAGGGUGCCCGUAAAGUGUUUGACGAAAUGCCCGAGAGAAAUGUUGCGACCUGGAAUGCUAUGGUCGCUGCCACGACCCAGUUUGAGUAUAAUGAAGAGGCUUUGGAUUUGCUUAGGGAAAUGUAUGAUUUGGGAUUUUCCCCAGAUGAGUUCACCCUAGGCAGUCUUCUUAGGGGUUGUGCAGGGUUGAGAGCUCUCUAUGCAGGAUGGCAGCUUCAUGCUUAUGUGAUGAAAUGUGGGUUUGAACUCAAUUUGGUUGUUGCGAGCUCCUUGGCCCAUAUGUAUAUGAAAAGUGGAAGUUUGGGAGACGGGGAGAAAAUUAUCAGAUCUAUGCCAAGUCGUAAUACUGUUGCUUGGAACACACUUAUUGCAGGGAAGGCUCAAAAUGGUUACUCUGAGGAAGUUCUGGAUCAGUAUAAUAUGAUGAGAAUGGCUGGUUUUAGACCGGAUAAAAUCACUUUUGUGAGUGUAAUUAGUUCAUGUUCAGAAUUGGCAACUCUUGGUCAAGGUCAGCAGAUUCAUGCUGAUUUGAUCAAAGCUGGUGCUAGUUCUGUUGUUGCAGUGAUUAGUUCGUUGAUUAGCAUGUAUUCAAAGUGCGGAUGUUUGGAAGAUUCUGUUAAAGUUUUCUUGGAAUGUAAAGAUGCGGACGUUGUAUUGUGGAGCUCCAUGAUUGCUGCUUAUGGUUUCCAUGGAAGAGGGAAGAACGCAAUCAAGCUGUUUCAGCAGAUGGAGCAGCAAGAUUUGGAGGCAAAUGAUGUUACUUUCUUGAGCUUACUUUACGCUUGUAGCCACUGUGGAUUGAAGGAUGAAGGGAUGAAAUUUUUUGAGUUGAUGGUGGAAAAGUACAGAGUGAAGCCUUGGUUAGAACAUUAUACUUGCGUGGUUGACCUACUUGGUAGGUCAGGGUGUUUGGAUGAGGCAGAGGCUAUGAUAAGAUCAAUGCCUGUAAAAGCAGAUGCUAUCAUUUGGAAGACUUUGUUAUCUGCAUGUAAACUUCACAAGAAUGCAGACAUGGCAGUAAGGGUUGCUAAAGAAGUUCUUAGCAUUGAUCCUCAGGAUUCAGCCUCUUAUGUACUUCUCGCUAACAUUCAUGCUUCUGCUAAGAGUUGGCAAUUUGUUUCGGAAGUGAGGAAAGCUAUGAGAGAUCGGAAGGUGAAGAAGGAACCAGGUAUAAGUUGGUUGGAAGUGAAGAAUCGGGUUCAUCAGUUCUGCAUGGGUUAUAAAUCCCAUCCGAGUUUAGGGGCAAUUGAUUUGUAUUUGAAAGAGUUAAUGGAAGAGAUGAAACUGCUUGGAUAUGUGCCUGAUACUACUUCUGUUUUGCAUGAUAUGGACAAUGAAGAGAAAGAAUACAGUUUGGUCCAUCACAGUGAAAAACUGGCAAUUGCUUUUGCUCUAAUGAACACUCCACCAGGUUUGCCAAUAAGAAUAAUGAAGAACUUGCGUGUCUGCAGUGACUGUCAUGUGGCUAUCAAAUAUAUAUCUCAGAUAAAAAAGAGAGAAAUCAUUGUCCGAGAUACUAGUAGAUUUCACCAUUUCAAAAAUGGGAAAUGUUCUUGUGGAGAUUACUGGUAAGAGGAGAGGCUAAAUUGCCAUUACAGUUGAUGCAGUUACUUUGUCUUUCUGAUUCAAAUGAUAUUAAUUUUCCCCCCCGAAUUAUUCUUAGUCGUAAUCACAUCAUUCAUCCACUCUUGAGACGUUAUGUUACCCUCCGC
This 2247-nucleotide unclassified non-coding RNA is filed under the name Hevea brasiliensis (rubber tree). Lineage: Eukaryota; Viridiplantae; Streptophyta; Magnoliopsida; Malpighiales; Euphorbiaceae. The record is from RNAcentral.